Triticum aestivum (bread wheat) is the source of this 135-nucleotide non-coding RNA. Lineage: Eukaryota; Viridiplantae; Streptophyta; Magnoliopsida; Poales; Poaceae. The record is from Rfam.
CUGUUACUCCCUCUGUCCCAAAAUUCUUGUCUUAGAUUUGUCUAAAUACGGAUGUAUCAAGUCACGUUUUAGUAUUAGAUACAUCCAUAUCUAGACAAAUUUAAGACAAUAAUUUUAGGACGGAGGAAGUACUUC